Long non-coding RNA from Meleagris gallopavo (turkey), 307 nucleotides. The record is from Ensembl. Lineage: Eukaryota; Metazoa; Chordata; Aves; Galliformes; Phasianidae.
AAUAUGCAAUUUUUAUUUUCCCAAAUAUAUUACCAAUACAAAGAAAAAUCAUUGAAAAAUCACUGACGGAGUAUGAUGGAUGUCCAGGCUAGACUAUGAGGUCAUCAACCAAGGAGUUGUGACAUCAGUGAGAGAUGACUAUGACCUCACUAACCCAUUCUGUACAAAUUUGGGUGCUGGUAGAGUCCACCAUAGACUUGUGCCUGGACUCCAGUUGAACCUAUCUGUGAGACUUGGCACAGAUAUUCAUUAUAGCUGCCCUCUCAGAGAAAGCAAGUUGGCAAUCUUGUUGAAGAACGACAUAUAG